This 305-nucleotide ribosomal RNA is filed under the name uncultured bacterium. RNAcentral describes it as "bacterial SSU rRNA". It matches the Rfam family "Bacterial small subunit ribosomal RNA", at positions 338 to 657 of the family's 1533-position model. The record is from RNAcentral.
CCUACGGGAGGCAGCAGUGGGGAAUAUUGGGCAAUGGGCGCAAGCCUGACCCAGCAACGCCGCGUGAAGGAAGAAGGCUUUCGGGUUGUAAACUUCUUUUCUCAGGGACGAAGCAAGUGACGGUACCUGAGGAAUAAGCCACGGCUAACUACGUGCCAGCAGCCGCGGUAAUACGUAGGGGGCAAGCGUUAUCCGGAUUUACUGGGUGUAAAGGGAGCGUAGACGGAAAGGCAAGUCAGAAGUGAAAACCCAAGGCUCAACCAUGGGACUGCUUUUGAAACUGUCAAACUAGAGUACGGGAGAGG